RNAcentral lists this ribosomal RNA (498 nucleotides) under uncultured bacterium. RNAcentral describes it as "partial 16S ribosomal RNA". It matches the Rfam family "Bacterial small subunit ribosomal RNA", at positions 30 to 523 of the family's 1533-position model. The record is from RNAcentral.
AUUGAACGCUGGCGGCAUGCCUUACACAUGCAAGUCGAACGGUAACAGGUCUUCGGAUGCUGACGAGUGGCGAACGGGUGAGUAAUACAUCGGAACGUGCCUAGUAGUGGGCGAUAACUACUCGAAAGAGUGGCUAAUACCGCAUGAGAUCUACGGAUGAAAGCAGGGGAUCGCAAGACCUUGUGCUACUAGAGCGGCCGAUGGCAGAUGAGGUAGUUGGUGGGAUAAAAGCUUACCAAGCCGACGAUCUGUAGCUGGUCUGAGAGGACGAUCAGCCAGACUGGGACUGAGACACGGCCCAGACUCCUGCGGGAGGAAGCAGUGGGGAAUUUUGCACAAUGGGCGCAAGCCUGAUCCAGCAAUGCCGCGUGCAGGAAGAAGGCCUUCGGCUUGUAAACUGCUUUUGUCAGGGAAGAAAUCUUCUGGGCUAAUACCCCGGGAGGAUGACGGUACCUGAAGAAUAAGCACCGGCUAACUACGUGCCAGCCGCCGCCGUAA